This 227-nucleotide long non-coding RNA is filed under the name Carica papaya (papaya). Its description in RNAcentral is "long non-coding RNA (CPAP_LNC000099)". Lineage: Eukaryota; Viridiplantae; Streptophyta; Magnoliopsida; Brassicales; Caricaceae. The record is from RNAcentral.
UGUGAAGUUUGUACUUCAAUAACAAUUUUCUAAAUAAAAACAAAAGAUACUAUGACAUUGUCUUAGUCUGGAGUUGCUUUUUGAACAAUGUUAGGUAUAAUAAUCUAAUAUUGAUCAUUGUUAAGAGUAAUUGAGGGAAUAGGAAUAUCGGCCAAUUCCCCUAGGAAUCGAGCAAACGGUCCUGGAUGUUGUUCACCUAAUUCACCAGAUUUACCAUAGUAUUUACC